CCUACGGGAGGCUGCAGUGGGGAAUAUUGGACAAUGGGGGCAACCCUGAUCCAGCCAUGCCGCGUGUGUGAAGAAGGCCCUCGGGCUGUAAAGCACUUUCAGUGAGGAAGAACGCCUGGUGGUUAAUACCCAUCAGGAAAGACAUCACUCACAGAAGAAGCACCGGCUAACUCCGUGCCAGCAGCCGCGGUAAUACGGAGGGUGCGAGCGUUAAUCGGAAUUACUGGGCGUAAAGCGCGCGUAGGUGGCUUGAUAAGCCGGUUGUGAAAGCCCCGGGCUCAACCUGGGAACGGCAUCCGGAACUGUCAAGCUAGAGUGCAGGAGAGGAAGGUAGAAUUCCCGGUGUAGCGGUGAAAUGCGUAGAGAUCGGGAGGAAUACCAGUGGCGAAGGCGGCCUUCUGGACUGACACUGACACUGAGGUGCGAAAGCGUGGGUAGCAAACAGGAUUAGAUACCCGAGUAGUC
This 465-nucleotide ribosomal RNA is filed under the name Vreelandella stevensii. Its description in RNAcentral is "partial 16S ribosomal RNA". It matches the Rfam family "Bacterial small subunit ribosomal RNA", at positions 338 to 795 of the family's 1533-position model. Lineage: Bacteria; Pseudomonadati; Pseudomonadota; Gammaproteobacteria; Oceanospirillales; Halomonadaceae. The record is from RNAcentral.